CAUUGGCAAGAGUGGGGACAUGGAAGCUGUGUUCAGGCCGGUCCACGCUGGGUGACCCAUGUGACCUGCUGCUUAGCAAUUCCUUGUCACCAUCUUCCCUUCUCAGCCUCUUUUUUCAUGCUAACAGGCAUAAAUGAAAUGAUAAAAGUUUGAGCUCUUCUCGUGGAAUUCUCGUGAUACAGAUAUGUGCUACAUGUUCAUCAUCUCGUUGGUCUUCACCAUGAUAACUGUGGAGUAAGAAUUAUAAGCAGGUCACAGAUUAGGGACUUGAGAUUGACAGUUUGGCUUCCCUGUUCUGGGUGGCAAAGCCUGUGGAGUACUCACCUACCUGCUGCAUGAAGGCAGCAUGGAGGGACUGUGGUGGAUUAUCUGCAAAGAUGGCCAAAAUUCUCUCAUCCCUGCAGGCACAUACAAGAUGCCAGAAUCAGUCAAAACUAAGCUCACUGUCCUUGCUAAUAUUCUGCCCCAGAGAAGAACUGAAGCUCAGCUCUUCACCCUACAGAAAGCCUGAAUUUUGUAAAUGUUCUGCUUAGAAUGAGGAAGAAAGAUGAAGAAUGAGGAGGAAGAAGGAAGGAACGAGAGAGAGGUAAAGCCAACAAGCAGAACAGACCUACAUUUGCAGCAUCUCCAAGUUUCUGCAACAGCAUUAUGUUGUUGUUAUGUUUUGUUUUAAUAAAAGCACAUACCAUUUGGUUGUUGCAUGGCAUAAGUAAAGUGACAGUUAUAGGAUACAUGCAACUUUUCAGUGACAAAGAUCUGUGCAGCAUCGACAGUACUGCCUAAUGAGGUUUCACCAUAAUGAAGUAUCACAACCAGUUUACAGACCAGAAAACUGAGACACAGGAAGGGGUGGUGACUUGAGCAAGGUGCAUCAGCUGGUAAGUGCAGAGCUGCAACUUUGCCUGGUUCCCAAGCCCACAUGGUUGCUAAGAUAUAUGCCAAGUCUUUUCUCACUGCAUUUUUAAACCCCUGGGAAACAUAAGACACCAUCUCAGACCUGGGUUGGAGACAGGCGUGGAAGUUCAAGAUGUGUACUCGGCUCUUCCAAAAACAACCCGAGAGCUCAAUUCUCUUCUUUCCCUGUGCAGCUGCUUCCCAGCACAACUGUCCAUCUGUGUUCUAUUGUUACAUGUUUAUUUCUUCCUCAUGAGCUUUUACAGUUCCCGCCUUUUAUGGGAUGUUCUUACGCCAGGUUUCCAGAAGUUCCCCAGUCAUUGAGCAUUUCUGAGGCUCUUGAUGCAUAUGCCAAGUAGUUAUGGAGAAAGACACAGCAGCUUACCUCUGCAGGCAUCAUUGUGUGAAAGGAAGACCCAGGCUCUCUCACCACCCUUGAACAGAAGCC
RNAcentral lists this long non-coding RNA (1342 nucleotides) under Homo sapiens (human). RNAcentral describes it as "HSALNT0026617". Lineage: Eukaryota; Metazoa; Chordata; Mammalia; Primates; Hominidae. The record is from RNAcentral.